RNAcentral lists this ribosomal RNA (253 nucleotides) under uncultured bacterium. RNAcentral's name for it is "partial 16S ribosomal RNA". It matches the Rfam family "Bacterial small subunit ribosomal RNA", at positions 524 to 776 of the family's 1533-position model. The record is from RNAcentral.
UACGAAGGGUGCAAGCGUUACUCGGAAUUACUGGGCGUAAAGCGUGCGUAGGUGGUGAGUUAAGUCUGUCGUGAAAGCCCCGGGCUCAACCUGGGAAUGGCGAUGGAUACUGGCUCGCUAGAGUGCGGUAGAGGAGAGUGGAAUUCCCGGUGUAGCAGUGAAAUGCGUAGAGAUCCGGAGGAACACCAGUGGCGAAGGCGGCUCGCUGGGCUCUACCUGACGCUGAGGCGCGAAAGCGUGGGGAGCGAACCGG